RNAcentral lists this ribosomal RNA (602 nucleotides) under Hansenula anomala. Its description in RNAcentral is "eukaryotic LSU rRNA". It matches the Rfam family "Eukaryotic large subunit ribosomal RNA", at positions 43 to 658 of the family's 3401-position model. The record is from RNAcentral. Lineage: Eukaryota; Fungi; Ascomycota; Saccharomycetes; Phaffomycetales; Wickerhamomycetaceae.
UCAAUAAGCGGAGGAAAAGAAACCAACAGGGAUUGCCUCAGUAACGGCGAGUGAAGCGGCAAAAGCUCAAAUUUGAAAUCUAGCACCUUCGGUGUUCGAGUUGUAAUUUGAAGAUGGUAACCUUGGGUUUGGCUCUUGUCUAUGUUCCUUGGAACAGGACGUCAUAGAGGGUGAGAAUCCCGUCUGAUGAGAUGCCCAUUCCUAUGUAAGGUGCUAUCGAAGAGUCGAGUUGUUUGGGAAUGCAGCUCUAAGUGGGUGGUAAAUUCCAUCUAAAGCUAAAUAUUGGCGAGAGACCGAUAGCGAACAAGUACAGUGAUGGAAAGAUGAAAAGAACUUUGAAAAGAGAGUGAAAAAGUACGUGAAAUUGUUGAAAGGGAAGGGCAUUAGAUCAGACUUGGUGUUUUACGAUUAUCUUCUCUUCUUGAGUUGUGCACUCGUAUUUCACUGGGCCAGCAUCGAUUCGGAUGGCAAGAUAAUGGCAGUUGAAUGUGGCUUCACUUCGGUGGAGUGUUAUAGCUUCUGCUGAUAUUGCCUGUCUGGAUCGAGGGCUGCGUCUUUUGACUAGGAUGCUGGCGUAAUGAUCUAAUGCCGCCCGUCUUGAA